UCCAUGGCUUUCCGUUUUGGUCCACUGAAUGGCGAAAAAUCUGAAACCCCACUUGAGGAUUUUUGGUUUCUGUCUCUCUAGGGUUACCCAUUACCUCAAAUGUGUUAGCGAGAGACAGUUGAGAAGUAGCAGGUGGAGGCAAAAAAUUUAUAUCUUGAUACCCACUGAAACCUUUAUUGUCACUCCUUACGUGUUGAAGACUCAUUUUGACCAAAAAGAAACCAGAAAAAGCCAGAGAGGAAGAUGAAGUAAAACAGAACUUGAAAACCCCAAAGCCCUCCUUUCUAUAAUGCCUCACAAGCAGAGUAAGGGACAGAGAAGAAAAGAACUGGGAAUUUUUCAAUAGAGAGAGAGGAGAAGAGUGAUCAACUGAUUAGAAAAUAGAGAGGCUGAUUUGCAUUUUCUCUUACCUCCUCUCUCUCAAAAACCAUUAUAAAAGGGGACAAGAGAGAAAGGAGGAAACUUGCUUAGUUUUUGUGAGGCAGAAAAGAGAAUAAACAGAGGGAGGAAACAAUCAAACAAUAAAAAUGAAGAAGUUUGUUUAAAAAAGAAACAGAAUGGAGUUUGAAAGUGUUUGUUGAAUGACAAAGGAAGAGAGUAAGCAAGCAAGUAGCAGCAAUAACAAAAAAGAAAAGAAGAACCCACACGAUUCUCCCUUUUCUUUCACUCUUUAUACGUAAAUUUGCAAAGACAGUGUGAGAGAGAAAUGAGGUCAG
Molecule: unclassified non-coding RNA, 716 nt
Filed under: Hevea brasiliensis (rubber tree)
Lineage: Eukaryota; Viridiplantae; Streptophyta; Magnoliopsida; Malpighiales; Euphorbiaceae
Source: RNAcentral